UACGUAGGGCGCAAGCGUUAUCCGGAAUUAUUGGGCGUAAAGAGCUCGUAGGCGGUUUGUCGCGUCGGGAGUGAAAACACGGGGCUUAACCCCGUGCCUGCUUCCGAUACGGGCAGACUAGAGGUAUGCAGGGGAGAACGGAAUUCCUGGUGUAGCGGUGAAAUGCGCAGAUAUCAGGAGGAACACCGGUGGCGAAGGCGGUUCUCUGGGCAUUACCUGACGCUGAGGAGCGAAAGUGUGGGGAGCGAACAGG
RNAcentral lists this ribosomal RNA (253 nucleotides) under uncultured bacterium. RNAcentral's name for it is "partial 16S ribosomal RNA". It matches the Rfam family "Bacterial small subunit ribosomal RNA", at positions 524 to 776 of the family's 1533-position model. The record is from RNAcentral.